Molecule: ribosomal RNA, 269 nt
Filed under: uncultured prokaryote
Description: partial 16S ribosomal RNA
Rfam family: Bacterial small subunit ribosomal RNA
Source: RNAcentral
AACGUAGGGGACAAGUGUUAUCCGGAUUCAUUGGGCGUAAAGCGCGUGCAGGUGGUGUUUUAAGUUGGGCGUGAAAUCUCCUGGCUUAACUGGGAGGGGUCGUUCAAUACUGAAGCACUUGAGGGCAGAAGAGGGAGGUGGAAUUCCCGGUGUAGUGGUGAAAUGCGUAGAUAUCGGGAGGAACACCAGUGGCGAAGGCGGCCUCCUGGUCUGUUCCUGACACUAAGACGCGAAAGCUAGGGGAGCAAACGGGAUUAGAUACCCCCGUA